UACGUAGGGGGCAAGCGUUGUCCGGAAUCAUUGGGCGUAAAGCGCGUGUAGGCGGCUCGAUAAGUCUGCUGUGAAAGUCCAGGGCUCAACCCUGGGAUGCCGGUGGAUACUGUCGAGCUCGAGUCCGGAAGAGGCGAGUGGAAUUCCUGGUGUAGCGGUGAAAUGCGUAGAUAUCAGGAGGAACACCUGUGGUGUAGACAGCUUACUGGACCACUUCUGACGCUGAGACACGAAAGCGUGGGUAGCAAACAGG
This 253-nucleotide ribosomal RNA is filed under the name uncultured bacterium. Its description in RNAcentral is "partial 16S ribosomal RNA". It matches the Rfam family "Bacterial small subunit ribosomal RNA", at positions 524 to 776 of the family's 1533-position model. The record is from RNAcentral.